CGUAGGCAGCGAGCGUUGUUCGGAGUUACUGGGCGUAAAGGGUGUGUAGGCGGUUGUUUAAGUUUGGUGUGAAAUCUCCCGGCUCAACUGGGAGGGUGCGCCGAAUACUGAAUGACUUGGAGUGCGGGAGAGGUGAGUGGAGUUCCUGGUGUAGCGGUGAAAUGCGUAGAUAUCAGGAGGAACACCGGUGGUGUAGACGGCUCACUGGACCGUAACUGACGCUGAGACACGAAAGCGUGGGUAGCAAACAGGAUUAGAUACCCUGGUAGUCCACGCCCUAAACGAUGCAUAUUUGGUGUGGGCAGUUCAUUCUGUCCGUGCCGGAGCUAACGCGUUAAAUAUGCCGCCUGGGGAGUACAGUCGCAAGGCUG
This 371-nucleotide ribosomal RNA is filed under the name uncultured organism. RNAcentral's name for it is "bacterial SSU rRNA". It matches the Rfam family "Bacterial small subunit ribosomal RNA", at positions 526 to 896 of the family's 1533-position model. The record is from RNAcentral.